UGGAAUUAAGGAGCAGGCUGAGGAGGUCCGGAAAAUUCAAAAGGCUCAGAGAAGCCCAAGGGGCUAUGAAGACGGUCUCUGGCCUUGGCCAAGAGGCGAUCCAGGGUUCCAGGAGAGGGGCAGGAAGUGGCCGGGACAGCAGACACCGGGGACAGGCGGGUGGGCAGGAAGCCAGGCAGAGAGCCUUUGAGGUGAUAGCGGUGUUUGGGGGCUGGCACCUUAUCGCAGGAUCAGAAACUCAGCUCUUGAAACCAGAUUGGCUUUGACACUUCUGGCGUUUCUUUGUUUAUUUCCUCUUCGUUCUACUUUAACAUUUAGUACGAUUCAAAAAUAUUUUUUUGUGUGGUUAAUACGUGCAGAGAAGGUAAAAUUAUUAUUUUUAAAUGCUACUCUGUCUCCACUGAGCACUGAGGUAAGAGAGAGGUUUUAAAAGAGCAGUUCUGGGGGCUGGGGGGCAGCAGUGAGUGGGGGGGGGGGCAGGCAGUCCCCGGAGACACCACCCCUCUCCUUAGAGGUGACCAUUCCCAAGCUCCACCUGCUCUGGCUGCCUGGUUCUGCUCAAUCAGGCAGAUCAGUUUCUCAGAGAUCAGCCUAAUCUCUGUCCAAGAUUAUCACCCUCAUCUUGUAUUUGUAAAUGUCACAUCCCAGUGAUUUUUGAGAAGAGCAAAAACCCCCUCUUUUUCCCCCCACCCCGGUCAUAGAGAGAGACGUGACUUUCUGGGGACAGGAGAGGCCUCGGGGUUGGACCUGAGAUCCCGGGAGAGUUUACAAGUUGUGUGACCUCCGGGCUAGCGGCUUAACCUCUCUGGGCUUCCCACUCCUUGACACGUAAAAGCAGAAGAAACCACCACCCGCCUCCCAGGUUGUUUGGAAGGAUCCAAAGGCAGGGAAAGUGCCUGACUUGUAAAGGACUCUGACAAAGAGAAGGAAAAGAAGACAGCAGAGGGAAGACCGUUAAUAACAUUGCAAUAACACCCAACGGUGACUAUGCUAAUCGCGGUGAGCACUGAGUAAUGUACAGAAUUGCCAAAUGACUGGGAUGUAGUCAUCUACGCCUGAAACUGACACUGCAUGUCAAUUACCCUUCCAUAAUAAGCAAAUAAAAUAAAACAACGUGUUCCUUCUGCAACCGACAAGACGUCUUCCCAGGGCCUGCACAGGACGGGACGAGCAGAGUCUCUCCCAGAGGACUGGCACGAUCAGGGAUCUUUCUGUGGGCCCCGGGCCAGCCGGGAGUCAAAAGCUCGGAGACACAGAGAACUGUAACCUGGGAAGCAGGAAGCAGGAAGCAAGGCAGCCUUGAACUAGAGUAAUAAUAACCACAGCCGUGAUCAUUGACUGGCCCUGGGGGAGGGUGCCUGGCAGGGAUCAAGGGUGAGGGACCGUGUUGUGGUUGGGGGGGGCGGGGGUGAUCGGGGGUCCCUGCUGCCUCCACUCAGGAGCUGGGAGCUCUCUGGGGAAGGAGGGAGCAGGGCCUGCAGAGUUGAGCCGGCGAGGACACCUGCAGCCUUGGGCCCUCGGCUCCCCCUACUCCAGGCCCUGCAGACUCCCAGAUCCUCACCGCCGAUGCCGAUGCCAAUGCCGAUGCAUGAAGUCCGGGUCCAGAGCCUGGUGACCAUGGGCUGUUGCCUGGCAACCGCCUCUGAGAGAGAAGUUGAAGGCUCACCAGUCAGGCACCGGUGACGGCGCUGGUUUUCCUCAGGGCCUUUGCACAGGCUGUGCCCGCACCCCACCCGUACGUGUGAGACGAAGUCCUCCCGGAGCCUUCCCUGGCCUGGAUCGGUGAGGCCUCUCCUCUAGGCUUCCCGGAGACCCCAGCCUCACCGUGUCCCCAGGCCUGGAAGCGCCUAG
Molecule: long non-coding RNA, 1851 nt
Organism: Acinonyx jubatus (cheetah)
Lineage: Eukaryota; Metazoa; Chordata; Mammalia; Carnivora; Felidae
Exons: 3
Source: RefSeq, a predicted model, not a curated record